CACUUCGACUUCCUGGACCCGCCGCCCCACGAGACGCUGGUGCUGGCGCUGGAGCAGCUCUACGCGUUGGGCGCCCUCAACCACCUGGGCGAGCUCACCACGCUGGGCCGGCGCAUGGCGGAGCUGCCCGUGGAGCCCAUGUUGGCCAAGAUGAUCCUGGCGUCGGAGCAGUACGGCUGCACGGAGGAGGUGCUCUCGGUGGCGGCCAUGCUGUCGGUGAACAACGCCGUGUUCUACCGGCCCAAGGACAAGGUGGUCCACGCGGACAACGCGCGCAUGAACUUCCACGUACCGGGGGGCGACCACCUGGUGCUGCUCAACGUCUAC
This is a non-coding RNA of Tinamus guttatus (white-throated tinamou), 327 nucleotides long. Lineage: Eukaryota; Metazoa; Chordata; Aves; Tinamiformes; Tinamidae. The record is from RefSeq and is a predicted model, not a curated record.